CUCCUGCUCCUGGGAUGUGUGUCACAGGGAGGCAGAAGCAAACUUUUGGGGACACAAAAAAGGCAAUGACUUCUGAUGAUGUUUUUGAUGGCUCAGGGGUUUCCUCAUAAACACACAGAAACGUUAAACAGAGAGGAAGAAGAUGGAUUUUGGAAGGAUGUUUCUUGGAACUGGUCUGGGCUGCAGCCACCUCUGGGAGUGGUUCCGGUCACUGGCUGCUUCUUUGGCAUUUGGGAGAGAUUUGCUUUGUCUUGCCCUCAUGGAGCACAUGCACAGUAUUCCUGAGGCCCUGGAACAUGCACAUAUGGUGACACAUCCCUCUGUUCCAGCAAGAAGACAGGAAAAGUGGAACUUCACAGACAUGGAGGUCAUGCUUUGGAUUCAUUACCUUAUGGAGCAGCAGCAUCUUCUUUUCCCAUGUGAAGCCUACAGAAAGGAAGAAGGAGUUUCACUUAGAGUUCUUGCUGGAUCUGUCAGCUCCACAAGUUGUUCUG
Pipra filicauda (Wire-tailed manakin) is the source of this 494-nucleotide long non-coding RNA. RefSeq lists it as uncharacterized. The record is from RefSeq and is a predicted model, not a curated record. Lineage: Eukaryota; Metazoa; Chordata; Aves; Passeriformes; Pipridae. The transcript has 4 exons.